GCGAUGGAUUCUAUUGAGAUAUAACUAAUCGUAAAAGCGAUACUGUUUCCUGGAAAAAAAAAGCGCGCCAAACACCAUGACCAGCACCAUCAGUCACAAGCACCACAGGAAUCGGUGGUACUCAUAAGCCAGGCAGGGCAGAACAUAACAGGUAAAACAGGUUUGUGGGCGUCCUGAGAGAGCUACCUGUACCGCUUCUUCUGGGCCCUUCCGAUCCUCGCGCGUCUCUCCUCCUCGACUUCGGUCUCUCCUUUUGAUACAGGAACCCUCGCUCCUACGGAAGGGUCUCCGAAAAAGAUCAGAAAAAAGGAUCGUGCGGUGGGAGAAGGCAGAGAAGCAGGAAAGGGAAACGGACCACGUCUACCGCGGUGCGCGUAUGCAUACACGUUCACCUGCGCGAGCGGGCGUAACAUAAUACGAUGAGGAUCGCAUCGUGCAAAUGCCAAAAGAAUUUCGUUACGAGAGUAUGCGCUGUCCAGGGACGUCUUGGGAUUCGAACCUUCUCCCUGCACGAGCGGUUGCGGAAUCGACGACGCUCUUCCUUCCCUUCCGAUACAGACGAUUUAGACGUUUUCAACGAUUCCAACCGAUGGGACACAAGCUUCGCCUUCUUCUAAUCGUUCUCAGCUUUGACGUUCCAAACGUAAUAGUCGGACGUGUUAUGGUCUUACGAGCAAAUCCUUUGUACGACGUAGCAAUAACUGUUAAAUGCUACAACGUUAUGCGCAUCGCCGAUAUCACUGUAUUAUGCGCACUUACCUGCGUACAUCGAAUCAAAGCGCUUCCUUUUAUUUCUUACGAGUAUCGACGAAACGUUCGAUUAUGCGUAUCUUGGAUGUACGCGUAUGUACGCGUAUGUACGCGUAUGUAUAUAUGCCUACAUGUAUACCUAUGUAUACGCGCACGCACCCACGCACGCACACGUGCACAGGUACUAGGCAACAUGAACGUGUAAGCGCGUCACUGUGGAAGUGCGUGCGUACGUGUGUAUAAAAUGUAGACCUUAAAGAGCAGGUAGCGCGCUUUCAAUUCGCCUUUGAGAUAGCGCGGAAGAGCGAAGAAGCUUGGAACUUUGGAGAAGCUAGUAGAGGGUUCUCCUUUCUUUGACUGAUCGCACGUAAAUUUUGAAGGAAUCCACGGGUCUAUUGUGGAUCAUCGGUCGUGCGAGAAAAGAAAUUUUCCUUGGACGAGCCGACCAUAAGAUCUUCCCACAUACCUGCGUCGUGAUUAAUGUCAUGCCUGUUCGAGACGUUUUUCAAGUUAUAUUUUCUAGUUUUUCAUACGAGAAUACAUGUUUAACGUAUACGUGGGUCAACGUAUACUUCGUCGUAAUCUACACGGUAUAAAAGUGUCUUCGGUCGAACGGAUCUUGAGUGACCUAUGGCCCUGCAUUGGCCAUCUACGUACGUACGUAGCUACCGAGUGAUCGAUUGAAAUCCCGACUGCGUAUCUUAUUCUUUCAUUACUCGAUGGCACUGUGUAAUCGACGCAUAUCGCAUUUACGAUAGAGCAUCGAACGCUGUAAGCGAAGUGGUUUAGUAAUCCGGCAGCGGCACUUGCGCAAUCCAGGAAUUUCUCAUGCGAGGCGAAGGAAGGAAAUUGCGUUGCCCAAUUAGAAAUCGCGGGAGACCGCAGAAGGAGGAAAGGAACGAGAUAAAGGAAAGAAAAGGAGAUAAAAAUAGGGAGAGGGAGCGCAAAAGGAUGAUCGUAAGAAAUAAGAAAGGGAGUAGGUAUACCGAGUGAGACGGGAAUAAUAAAUAUAUUUAAAUGUGAUUAAAUGUCGUCGUUUCACUUUUCACGUAAUUCCCAUCAAAAGCGGUCAAAGUUAUCGAUUUAACUAAAAUAACUUUGUAGUAGUCAUUGUGUCUGGCCUUUUUUUCAUCGCGAUUCGCGAGAAUAUCACAUCUCGAAGGCAGACAUUCUAUGGCAACGAGCGAUGACGAGGCCUUUGCAGGAAUCCGGUCUCUUCCUCCUCCCCUCCUUUCUCCUUUUGCUUUUCUCGAACGAUUACGACACUGCUCCUCUCACCUCCGCCUAAUCCCAAAUGCCGUGUUGCAGAAGCACUGGAACGAAGGAGGACGAGCGGUCGAAGAAGAAAGAAAAGGGUAGGAGGGCAAACGACGGAGAGGAGAAGAGAGCUCCACUCGUCAUCCCGGAUGUGCAACAUCUUUACAUGCUAUUCUUCGAUGCAGUUACCUACCAACACGAUUGUUCUCUUUUUCGCCUAUUAACGAGUCUUUAGCUAUACCUGUCUACUACGUAGAUCUCCGAUGAAAAUACAGGAAAGGGAAAAAUGUAAAAGAAAGCGCGGCGAAUGUGGGAAGAAAGAAAAUAGAAAACAAAAAGAGAAAAAAAGAGGAAGGUGUGCAUCAGGCAACAGUCACUCGCUCCUGAUUACACGGACCAUUGUGCAAUGACAACGAAAUCGGUAUAUGAGAGGACGAAUGUAAAAAGACGCCCAUGACUGAGGAAAGACGGGCUAUGGCGAUAUAGAAAUUCAUAACAAAACGAAAGGAACUUGGGCGACGCGAAAGGAUCGAACACGUAAUACGCGAGUGUCCUCCUCUAUUUCCGUUUACGCUUAUGUACCUCGCAAUCAGCCGUCGGGUUCCUCCAAGACGAGCGAUUCGAGAUGAAGCAGGAGAGAAACGAUGAAACGAAUGGAAGAGGGCACUCCGUUAUCGUUCACCUCUCAUAACGGUUUCUUCGACGGAGGGCGCGAUCCCACAUCGCUUCGUGUCGUCGCUGGGUAAGAAUGGCUCGCCGUUUAUAUCUAUCCAUCCGUAUGUAUCUAUGUAAGUAUGUAUAUCCAUGUAUUUAUAUACCGUAUCGUACUCAGUCGAUACGUAUCCACGAUCCUUAUUACACGACACUUAUUACAUCAGCGUACGAUCAUCGCCCAUCGAUCAAACGAUGUUUGCAUCGUUUCAUCGACAAUUUUCAAUAAAGGACAAGCACAGAUUCUACAAGUUGAAAGUUAAGAUGCGUUUGCAGAUUCGUUCAAAAUAUUCAUUCAAGUAGAAUUAAUUAAUAAUAUAAUUCAAGUAGAGAAAGAGAGAGAUUGAAUAAAACGAAGCUAUGAAGUAUAGAGGAAUACGAAUGUAUCAUCUCGUACUUCGUAAUAACACCUUUGUUUCCGGUAAUGGAACAAAACGCCAACUCCUUAAAUGCUUUUAUGCCCUCGAUGUAACGGCUCCUCGUGACUUCUUUGGCUUCCGGUACAAGCGAGGGUCACUGAAGACCCGGAAGUUCGUUCGACUCAGCGCAUUAACUUUCCUCGGAGCCCCUUAGUAUUAUAUACCUUUCAAGCCAUCGGAUACUUUGCGAAUUGUAGCAUGCGGAAGAGUAAGUGGAAAGGCAAUCUAUGACACUACAGUCAUUUCAUCGCUUCUUUUUCCUUACAAUCGGCAUUCUAAGCUCAGAAAGGGAACAACGCCGCUCUAUAAUAAUUACUCUAAUAUUUAAUAUAGAAUAUUUCAUGGAUACCUAAUUGAAAAGGAGUUUACGUCGCCUCGACUUUCGUAACGCGAGUGAAACAAAUCUUUAACAUAUUAUAUAAACAGCGUCAAUCUAUUCAUUGCGUAUCGUAAAUUAAUGCAAAAUACCAAGAUAUAUCUAACAAAAACGCACGUGUUAGACCAAAUCCUAACAGACAUAAUCGCGUUAGGAUGUUAGGGUUCGAUUUAUAAAAAAAAACAAAAGACGAGAUAUUUAUUGCGUUGUCAUUAAACGAAUCUAAUUCGUAUCUUAUACUCUUUGUUCAAUUUACUUCAACAGUAUCAACAAUAUUCUUUUUUAUGUUAGCUAAGCAGCAAAGAAUACCAAGGUUCCUUAAAAGUAUAGCUCCAAGAAUGUAUGUGUUUAGAAUUCAGACUACCUGUGGUACGUGUUACACUUCACCUACGUACAUUUAUAUAACGCGACCGAUGCAAGAGAUAUACACGCGAUACCUAUCCUCACGAAUGUAACAUUCAGUUAGGCGAAUAUGAAGCGCCACAUGUUGGAAAGAUGUGGGAAGAUUCUACGACAGUAUUACAUUACCGCAUUUACCCCAACAAUUGGACCUAACGCGCUCGACGCCGAGUCAAUUAAGAAGAUUCUUUCUCUCUUCCCACCCCACACCUCUCUCUCUCUCAUUACGAACCAACGAACGUACACAUAAAAUAAAAAUAAAGUAGCUUGAUUAAUCUACUACGACAGAUUUGUAAGCAGGUAUAAUAUAGCCUUAAUGUGCUAAUCAAACUUCAAUAUUAUACGUUUUUAAAGGAGCGUGAUUACGAUGGACGAUUCUACGAUCUAUAUCGCGCAAUAAAAUUUCAUUUUUACAUUUAUUUUUUUCUUAUAUUACUCAUAUUAGAUUUUUAUAUAAAAGUUCUCACGAGAGAGAGAGAAAUUAAAGAAACUUUUCGAAUAACAUAUAU
Molecule: long non-coding RNA, 4421 nt
Organism: Vespula vulgaris
Lineage: Eukaryota; Metazoa; Arthropoda; Insecta; Hymenoptera; Vespidae
Exons: 3
Source: RefSeq, a predicted model, not a curated record